CAGCCGCCACGGGAAUACGUAGGGUGCGAGCGUUAAUCGGAAUUACUGGGCGUAAAGCGUGCGCAGGCGGUUCGUUAAGACAGAUGUGAAAUCCCCGGGCUUAACCUGGGAACUGCAUUUGUGACUGGCGAGCUAGAGUAUGGCAGAGGGGGGUAGAAUUCCACGUGUAGCAGUGAAAUGCGUAGAGAUGUGGAGGAAUACCGAUGGCGAAGGCAGCCCCCUGGGCCAAUACUGACGCUCAUGCACGAAAGCGUGGGGAGCAAACAGGAUUAGAUACCCGCGUAGUCCCUGUCUCUUAUAA
Molecule: ribosomal RNA, 301 nt
Filed under: uncultured bacterium
Lineage: Bacteria
Description: partial 16S ribosomal RNA
Rfam family: Bacterial small subunit ribosomal RNA
Source: RNAcentral